This 433-nucleotide ribosomal RNA is filed under the name uncultured bacterium. RNAcentral's name for it is "partial 16S ribosomal RNA". It matches the Rfam family "Bacterial small subunit ribosomal RNA", at positions 29 to 507 of the family's 1533-position model. The record is from RNAcentral.
AACGAACGCUGGCGGCAUGCCUAACACAUGCAAGUCGAACGAGACCUUCGGGUCUAGUGGCGCACGGGUGCGUAACGCGUGGGAACCUGCCCUUAGGUUCGGAAUAACUCCCCGAAAGGGGUGCUAAUACCGGAUAAUGUCUUCGGACCAAAGAUUUAUCGCCUUUGGAUGGGCCCGCGUUGGAUUAGCUAGUUGGAAGGGUAAAAGCCUACCAAGGCGACGAUCCAUAGCUGGUCUGAGAGGAUGAUCAGCCACACUGGGACUGAGACACGGCCCAGACUCCUACGGGAGGCAGCAGUGGGGAAUAUUGGACAAUGGGCGAAAGCCUGAUCCAGCAAUGCCGCGUGAGUGAUGAAGGCCUUAGGGUUGUAAAGCUCUUUUACCCAGGAUGAUAAUGACAGUACCGGGAGAAUAAGCUCCGGCUAACUCCGUG